Molecule: long non-coding RNA, 530 nt
Organism: Drosophila mauritiana
Lineage: Eukaryota; Metazoa; Arthropoda; Insecta; Diptera; Drosophilidae
Exons: 2
Source: RefSeq, a predicted model, not a curated record
GUAAAUACUUGAAUUAAUUAAGUAAUUCAUUUUAUUUGUUUGAAACUAGUUUUGAAUAAUUUUUAAACCAAUUAUACUUAUCGAUACCAGCUAUCGAAAAAAACAACAAACGAUACCGAUUCUUUUGGUAUAUUUGAUGUAUACAUUGUGGAAUAUUCAAUAAUCGCAGCCUGGUCACAUUUGUGAAAAUUUUUGACGCAAAGCGAACAGAAAAAAAAAAUGGAGAACAAUACAUACGCAAAAAUCGAUCAAACGCUGAGAAAUUUUUUUUUGUUAAAAUACAAAACGACAUUACAUGCAAAAUAACCAAUUUGGCGUUAAUGCAAAUUACUUGCACAUGACGCGCCUUUUGAAACCGACUUUGGGCCAUCAAUUCAAUGCUUGAAUGGACUAUGAACACUUUUUCCGGCCGAAAAAUAUGCCAAUGCUGGCAACACGCACUCACCUGGCGAUGCAGAAUAUUUAAAUACUUCGCAAUCAAUUUUUAAUUGUAUUUUCAACCAAAGCAAAACGCUAGAGCUGACACUUCA